GAGUUUGAUCCUGGCUCAGGAUGAACGCUGGCGGCGUGCUUAACACAUGCAAGUCGAACGGACUCAUAUUGAAACCUAGUGAUGUAUGAGUUAGUGGCGGACGGGUGAGUAACGCGUGGAGAACCUGCCGUAUACUGGGGGAUAACACUUAGAAAUAGGUGCUAAUACCGCAUAAGCGCACGGCUUCGCAUGAAGCAGUGUGAAAAACUCCGGUGGUAUACGAUGGAUCCGCGUCUGAUUAGCUGGUUGGCGGGGUAAAGGCCCACCAAGGCGACGAUCAGUAGCCGGCCUGAGAGGGUGAACGGCCACAUUGGGACUGAGACACGGCCCAAACUCCUACGGGAGGCAGCAGUGGGGAAUAUUGCACAAUGGGGGAAACCCUGAUGCAGCGACGCCGCGUGAGUGAAGAAGUAUUUCGGUAUGUAAAGCUCUAUCAGCAGGGAAGAAAAUGACGGUACCUGACUAAGAAGCCCCGGCUAACUACGUGCCAGCAGCCGCGGUAAUACGUAGGGGGCAAGCGUUAUCCGGAUUUACUGGGUGUAAAGGGAGCGUAGACGGCAGCGCAAGUCUGGAGUGAAAUCCCAUGGCUUAACCAUGGAACUGCUUUGGAAACUGUGCAGCUAGAGUGCAGGAGAGGUAAGCGGAAUUCCUAGUGUAGCGGUGAAAUGCGUAGAUAUUAGGAGGAACACCAGUGGCGAAGGCGGCUUACUGGACUGUAACUGACGUUGAGGCUCGAAAGCGUGGGGAGCAAACAGGAUUAGAUACCCUGGUAGUCCACGCUGUAAACGAUGAUUACUAGGUGUUGGGGGACCAAGGUCCUUCGGUGCCGGCGCAAACGCAUUAAGUAAUCCACCUGGGGAGUACGUUCGCAAGAAUGAAACUCAAAGGAAUUGACGG
This 897-nucleotide ribosomal RNA is filed under the name uncultured bacterium. Its description in RNAcentral is "bacterial SSU rRNA". It matches the Rfam family "Bacterial small subunit ribosomal RNA", at positions 9 to 916 of the family's 1533-position model. The record is from RNAcentral.